Molecule: ribosomal RNA, 458 nt
Filed under: uncultured bacterium
Lineage: Bacteria
Description: partial 16S ribosomal RNA
Rfam family: Bacterial small subunit ribosomal RNA
Source: RNAcentral
CCUACGGGGGGCAGCAGUGAGGAAUAUUGGUCAAUGGGCGAGAGCCUGAACCAGCCAAGUCGCGUGAGGGAGUACUGCCCUAUGGGUUGUAAACCUCUUUUGUCGGGGAGCAAAAGCCGGACGUGUCCGGCUGCGAGAGUACCCGAAGAAAAAGCAUCGGCUAACUCCGUGCCAGCAGCCGCGGUAAUACGGAGGAUGCGAGCGUUAUCCGGAUUUUUUGGGUUUAAAGGGUGCGCAGGCGGAUUUUUAAGUUUGCGGUCAAAUCGUGGGGCUCAACCCCGUCCAGCCGUUGAAACUGGGGAUCUAGAGUGUGCGAGAGGUAUGCGGAAUGCGUGGUGUAGCGGUGAAAUGCAUAGAUAUCACACAGAACCCCGAUUGCGAAGGCAGCAUACCGGUGCACAACUGACGCUCAGGCACGAAAGCGUGGGUAUCGAACAGGAUUAGAUACCCGUGUAGUC